UUAGGGGUGAGCAUUAUUCGGUUUAAAUCGAAAAACUGAACCGAACCUCCUUAGUUUGGUAAUUCAGUUCGGUUUUUGAUAUAAUUCAGUUCGGUUCAGUUCGGUUCUAUAUUUUAAAAAUUUCGAUUAUUUCUGUUCAGUUCGGUUUUUGAGAAAAAAAAAACGGUUUGAACCAAAUCAAACCGAAUAGUAUUUUUUAUUUUUAAAUUAAUUUAUUUUUAUAGGGAUUUUAUGAAUUAUAUAUAUAUAAAUUGUUUA
RNAcentral lists this unclassified non-coding RNA (258 nucleotides) under Hevea brasiliensis (rubber tree). The record is from RNAcentral. Lineage: Eukaryota; Viridiplantae; Streptophyta; Magnoliopsida; Malpighiales; Euphorbiaceae.